This is a long non-coding RNA of Nerophis ophidion (straightnose pipefish), 13390 nucleotides long. RefSeq lists it as uncharacterized. NCBI's taxonomy places the organism in Eukaryota, Metazoa, Chordata, Actinopteri, Syngnathiformes, Syngnathidae. The transcript has 2 exons. The record is from RefSeq and is a predicted model, not a curated record.
UAAUAAAAAAAAAGAUUUGCAUAUAUAUUAUACAUAUGUAUAUAUAUAUAUAUAUAUAUAUAUAUAUAUAUAUACAUGUGUGUGUGUGUGUGUUUUUCUGCACCCCUAGUAAACAUGAUUCAUGGGUGUGAGUUAGUUUUUGCCACAUCUCUCACUUCCAGUGUGAGUGACAAAACCGCUACUGACCUGAUCAGACCUGAUGAGUCCCAAAGAGAUAAUACAGUAUUAUCUGCUGACAGGUGCUACCUAGUGGUUGCAGCGAGUCCUGCAUAGUCCCACUCCUCAACGCUUCAGUCACACACAAGAUUUUCACAGUGAUGAGGCCAAAAAUAACACCCUUCCCCAACUGUACGCUUUUUUCGCAUGACUUGAGACUGAACAGGAAGUCAGCUGGUGUCGGACCUCUUCUACGUUGGUGCUUCCUUACUUUUGCUCUGUUUUUUUCCCUCCCCUACCUCACUUUUUCACCUCACUCCCACCCCUCUGCACGCCGCAUCUUCCAUCGUGUCGCGUGUGGACUCGCCGCGUCGUGUUCGAGGACCAGACCGCUUGGGUUCCGCACGGAGCCACGGCAACGUACAAACCGGGACAAAAAUGCUGGCCCACUACCUCCCGUGGAAUCUGGUUGGGAUGAAGGUGGAAUUGCUAUGUGUCAGGCGAUGUAUUAUUCACAGGCUCUGUGCUCCAGCUGUCACUCACCUCCUUAUCCCACACACACAUGAACUCUAUCUGGGACCCCCUCACUCCCCACUUCACACACACGCAUAGAAAGUCACAUCUCCAUCAACAUUCAAGCCUUUCCACUCAUUGCCCAGCAUGAUUUAUUAUAGAUCAUGCUAGCACAGACCCUCUAGACCAGGGCGGCCCAAAGUCCGGCCCGUGGGCCAUUUGUGGCCCGCAGCCCCAAGCAUAAACAUGUCAGAAAAAAAGCGGACGUUUUGAUACUAAUAACUUGGGAUAAAUGGCGAUAAAACGUCUUGGGUUAGUAUUACAAUGCAAAAAAAUAAAAAAUAAAUUAGGGGAAAAAAAUACUUAAAACUAGUGAAAUGAUCAGUAAUUUUCCAUCCUCAAUUAGCAUUUGUAUAUCUGGAAAUAAGCAGGUCUUUUAAGGUAGAAACAAGUAUUUUAUUCUGAAAACAACUCUUUAAGUAGCAGUAGAGUAGAAAAAGAAGUUGCCUCUAUAUGGAAGCUGUUACCAUAUAUAUCUGAUUAAUGACGCCAGAAGACUUACAAAGUAAAUAGAUGAUUAAAAUGAUAUAAAUCACACGGAGAUUCCGGAGCCAUUUUGAGGGAUAAUGAGGAAGCCGGUCACGAGUGAUGUAGAGGAGGAACCACAGAUCCCUUCCCCUUCUGCUAAUCAAGCAGACUUUGUGAGAGCCAACAAUGAUUACUUCAGGACGAAUUAUAAUCCCAGCCCUUAUAUUUUUGAGCCUGAACGCGUUUUAAUUUAGAACGAUAAUAUUAACCAUCUAGAGUUUUGCCGCAGUUUUUCAUUAACAGCGUUUAUCGUUACAUAUGUACCAGUACAAAUAUACAUAACUCUUUUAACUAAGCUCCAUUUUCAAAACGUUAAUGUGUUCUGUGUUGGGUGUUAGCAUUUAAGAAAGCUAGCGAGCCAUUAGCAGGCUAGCUUGCUGUACUAGUAAAUGAACAGUAUCUCCGGUCUGUGAGUCUUAUCAAAGUGCAACCUUAUACUUUUGAGCCCGAACACAAGGAGGAUGACAAUACAUUUUAGAAAGCAGUUUAGAAAAGCUCCUUCCGGUUGCAUGGAGAUGACCUAAAAACAUAUGUUUUCAAAUUAAAAAUUGUAUUUAUAUAUAUAUAUAUAUAUAUAUAUAUUUUUUUUUUUAAUCCAUUUUGUGAAAAUUAUGAAUCAAUUUAGAAUCAGGAUGACUAAGGAUCAGGAUUUGGAUGUGAAUCGAUUUUUUUGUGCACCCCUAUUUUUUGACAGCGUACAAACAUCUGACUUUUCCGAACAUAAGAGAAAAAUCAGGCCAAGUCUACUUUUAUGAAGGAUUAAAUUGUACACAUGUAUGUAAGAAUAAUAGGUUAACAAUCCAAAAACUAUGACAGUGUCAGGUUGCAGGACUCAAAUAACCAGACAGCACCUGAACGCAUCAUACAAGAGUUUCUAUACAUUAAUUCAUUUUGCAACAUGAAAGAUACGUUUGUCAAAAAAACAAAAAACAAUGUUCUUCUUUUCCAGUGUUGAAAAUCAAUAACUAGAUGUAAAAAAAAAAAAACUGAAGUUUUGUAUCCUCUGUCAGAAAGAUUAACUUGUUUAUAUAAACACACCACUUUCGUUAUUUUUACCAAUGAUUUUAACUCUUGUUAUAUGAAUUAUAAAAUACAACUUUAAAAUGGUUAUUGCUCUUUUACACUGAAAGAAAAGAAUGUUUGUUAAUUCUCUAUUUUUCAAUUUCCAUUUAUUGAAUUGAAGUCAAUGACCAAAUCCUACACUGAGCUUAGAGGAAAUAUGUUUAUGACAAAUAUGAGUAGCUUGUGAGACCCAAAUGUCAAAACCCUCAUAUGUUAGGGUUGGAACGGUUCACGGAACAAACCAACCAUUCAGAGCUCACGUGUUGUUGUUUUUCUGUGUCACUCAUUAGUUUGGCGUGUAGAGCCCUAAAAUAUCGUCCAAUGACAUUAUACUAUAGUAUCGUACUGUGAUUUUCGCUUAUAUCCUCCAAUGAUUUUGUCCUAUGAUAUCAUACUAUUAUAUCGUCCUAAAUUAUUCUAUGCUUUCAUUCUAUAUCAGUGUAUAGCGUACUAUGAUUUUGUCCUAUGAUAUCGCCUUAUGAUAUUGUCCUAUUUGUCCUAUGAUUUUGUACUAUGAUAUUGUCCUAUAAUUGCAUACUAUUAUAUCGUACUAGGAUUUUGUCCUAUGAUGCCGUAUUUUAUCGUACUAUAUUAUUCUAAGAUUUCGUCCUAUAUCAGUGUAUAUCAUACUGUGAUUUCGUACUAUACGUCCUACAAUAUCAUCCUAUAUACUGUAGUACUAUAUCGUCCGAUGAUUUUGUCCUAUAGUAUUUUCCUAUGAUAUCGUCCAAUGAUUUUGUCAUAUGAUACCGUACUAUGGCAUCGUACUAUGAUUUUGUCCUAUAUCGAAAUGUUAUACCGUCCUAUGAUAUUGUCCUAAAAUUUCGUCCUAUGAUAUCGUAAUAUAAUUUUGUCCUAUAUCGGCCUAUGAUUUAGACCUGAUAUCGUCAAAUGAUUUUUUCCCCCUAUGAGACCGUCUUAUGAUUUUGUCCUAUAUCGUCCAAUGAUUUGUAAUAUAAUAUCGUCCUAGAUUGUCCUAUGAGAUCACGCUAUAUUGUCCUAUGAUUUUAUACUCUGAUAUCGUCUUGUGAUAUCGUAGUAUAAUUUUGUGCUGAUAUCGUCCUACAUUGUGCUAUGAUUUCAUAAUAUAUCAUCCCAUGAUAUUGUCCUACAAUUUUAUCCUAUAUCGUACUGUGAUUUCAUCCUAUGAUAUACUAUAUCUUACCAUGAUUUUGUCCUAUGAUUUCAUACUCUGAUACAUCCAAUGAUUUCGUCCUGAUUUUGUUCCGAUAUAUAUUGCGCUACAAUUUUGUACUAUAUCGUCUCAUGACAUGAUAUCGGAGUAUAUCGUCCUAUGAUAUAGGAGUGUGAUAUUGUCCUAUGAUAUAGUCCUAUGGUAUUGACCUAUGAUAUCGUCCUACGAUAUGGUCUUAUAAUAGGUGACGUAAUGAAAGUGGGCGAUAUAAAUUAAAUCUACAAUUCCAAAGAAAAUAAAUGGAAGUCAUGUGAUUAAAUUGCUGUAAUGAUGCGUAGAAGGAAUGUUGGUGUGCACAUGUGCUCUCUCACAGACUACGUAGAUAUGUAAAUCAUGUAUUCACGGCCACACACCAGCGUGCCAAACUUCUACAAAACUUGUCUUACUCCCAACUUCUUUGUGUCAGCUGAUGUGCGUUCUUACUCAUUUUAGGACCACUCGUGAUCCAAAAGCACAGGAAAAUACCAUGCUAAUGCGAGUGCUAGCCAGCGGCAACCAGGGAUUAUUGCUACACUGUUUCGCUACAUGAAAAUACUUCCACUUGAAAUAGCAAGCAAAGAUGUAUCGUAUCGACACAUGUAAGGACUUCUGCAUUGACGUCAAGCGUCAGUUAAGUAGGUGCGUUUAUCAAUCACCGUUUUACCAUCUUUUUCAUUUAAUACUAACCGCAAUUUGUCAUUAACAAUAUGAAAGUGUUAUAUAACAAUUAUUGUGACCAAAAUGAUCACCAUUAUUAUUAGUACUAAUACACUAAGUACUCAGAAAAAAAAUUAAUUGUAAUGUUUUUUUAAGAGUUGCGUUGAGCAUGCUAGCUUGCGUUGCCAGUAAAUGAACAGUAUCUCUGCUGUGUGAGUUUAUCAAAGUGGGUUUAUCAAUCACGGUUUAACCAUCAUUUUCAUUUAGAACGAUAAUACUAACCGUCUGGGGUUUUGCCGCGGUUUAACAGCAUUUUACCGUUAAAUAGAUAUCAGAACUCUUUUAACUAAGUUCUAUUUUCAAAAUGUUAAUGUGUCUUGUAUUGGUGUUAACAUAUAAGUCAGCGAGCGAGCCAUUAGCAUGCUAGCUUGCGUUGCCAGUAAAUGAACAGUAUCUCAGCUGUGUGACUUUAUCAAUCACUGUUUUACGAUCAUUUUCAUUUAGAGUAAUAACAGUAACCGUCGAGAGUUUGUCAUGAAUAGCGUUUAUCUUUCUAUACAUACCAGAAAAAACACACAGAACUCUUUCAACUAAGUUUAAUUUUCAAAAUGUUAAUGUGUCCUCUGUUGGUGUUAACAUUUGUAUCGGUGUUAACAUAUAAGCAAGCGAGCGAGCCAUUAGCAUGCUAGCUUGCGUUGCCCGUAAAUGAACAGUAUCUCUGCUGUGUGAGUUUAUCAAAGUGGGUUUAUCAAUCACGGUUUUACCAUCAUUUUCAUUUAGAACAAUAAUACUAACCCUCUGGGGUUUUGCCGCGGUUUAAUAGCAUUUUAUCGUUACGUAGAUAUCAGAACUCUUUUAACUAAGUUCAUUUUUCAAAAUGUUAAUGUGUCUUGUAUUGGUGUUAACAUAUGAGCAAGCGAGCGAGCCAUUAGCAUGCUAGCUUGCUUUGCCAGUAAAUGAACAGUAUCUCUGCUUUGUGAGUUUAUCAAUCACUGUUUUACGAUCAUUUUCAUUUACACUAAUAACAGUAACCGUCGAGAGUUUGUCAUGAAUAGCGUUUAUCUUUCUAUACAUACCAAAACAAACACACAGAACUCUUUCAACUAAGUUUUAUUUUCAAAACGUUAAUGUGUUCUUUGUUGGUGUUAACAUUUAAGCUAGCUAGCGAGUAAUUAGCGUGCUGGCUUACUUUGGCAGUAAAUGAACAGUAUCUCUGGUCUGUGAGUUUAUCAAAGUGCGUUUAUCAAUCACAGUUUUACGAUCAUUUUAAUUUAGAACGAUAAUACUAACCCUACGAACUUUUGCCGCAUAUUUUUAUUAUUAGCGUUUAUCUUUACAUAGAUAGCAGGACAAACACACAGAACUCUUUUAACUAAGUUCUAUUUUCAAAACGUUAAUGUGUCUUGUUUCGGUGUUAACAUUUAGGCUUGCUAGCGAGCCAUUAGUGUGCUAGCUUGCUUCGCCAGUAAAUGAACAGUAUCUCUGCUCUGUGAAUUUAUCAAUCACGGUUUUACAUCAUUUUCAUUUAGAAUGAUAACACUAACUGUCUGGUAUUUUGCCACGGUUUUUCAUUAAUAGCGUUUAUCCUUACAUAAAUACCAGAACUAACACAAAGAACUCAAAAUUUUAACUAAGUUUUAUUUUUAAAACGUUAAUAUGUCUUGUAUUGGUGUUAGCAUUUAAGCUAGCUAGCGAGCUUGCUUCGCCAGUAAAUGAACAGUAUCUCUGCUCUCUGAGUUUAUCAAUCACGGUUUUAUGAUAAUUUUCUUUUCAAAUGAUAACACUAACCGUUGGGAGUUUUGCCACGGUUUGUCAUUAAUAGCGUUUAUCGUUCUAUACAUACUACAACAAACACACAGAACUCUUUCAACUAAGUUUUAUUUUCAAAACGUUAUUGUGUCCUCUGUUGGUGUUAGCAUUUAAGCUAGCUAGCAAGCCAUUAGCGUGUUGGCUUACUUCGCCAGUAAAUGAACAGUAUCUCUGGUCUGUGAGUUUAUCAAAGUGCGUUUAUCAAUCACAGUUUUACAAUAAUUUUAAUAUAGAACGAUAAUACUAACCGUCUGGACUUUUGCCGCGGUUUGUCAUUAAUAGCGUUUAUCGUUACAUAGAUAGCAGGACAAACACACAGAACUCUUUUAACUAAGUUCUAUUUUCAAAACGUUAAUGUGUCUUGUUUCAGUGUUAACAUUUAAGCUAGCUAUCGAGCCAUUAGCAUGUCAGCUUGCGUCGCCAGUAAAUGGACGAUAUCUUUGCUCUGUGAGUUUAUUAAUCACGGUUUUACGAUUAUUUUAAUUUAGAGUGAUAAUACUAACCCUCUGGACUUUUUCCGCGGUUUGUCAUUAAUAGCGUUUAUCGUUACAUAGAUACCAGAACUAACACGCAGAACUCUUUUAACUAAGUUCUAUUUUCAAAAUGUUAAUAUAUAUUGUAUUGUAAAGGUUUUUGUGUUUUUUUAAGAGUUGCAUUGAGCCUGCUAGCUUGCUUCGCCAGUAAAUGAACAGUAAUCUCUGCUCUCUGAGUUUAUCAAAGUGCAUUUAUCAAUCACGAUUUUACCAUCAUUUUAAUUUAGAACGAUAAUACUAACCGUCUGGAGUUUUGCCGUGGUUUGUCAUUAAUGCCGUUUAUCGUUACAUACGUACCAGAACAUAUACACAGAACUCGUUUUACUAAGUUCUAUUUUCAAAACCUUAAUGUGUUUUGUUUUGGUGUUAGCAUUUAAGCUAGCUAUCGAUUAGCCCGCUAUCUUAUUUUCUAAGAAAUUAGCAGCAUCACCGUGAGUUCAUCAAAGUUUGGUAAUCAAUCACGGAAUUUAAAACAAUGAUACUAUUUUUAGCGAGUUUUACUGCUGUUUGUCAUGAAUACUGUUUAUAGUUAAAUACCUCUUUAGAGCUUUACGAGCCAAUUUAAGUUUUAUUUUUGUAAGAACCAUAAAGGUGGAUAAUUGGGAUGUAUGGGAUUCCAGGGUAUUAAAAAGAACAACGAUGUGCACACAAGCGAAGUAAAAACCGUAACAAGAUCCGAACCGUUCCACCCCUAGCCUAUACCUUCCAUAAUAACAGACCUAAUAUAAGGCUUGCAAGUGUGAUGUGGAAACGCAAUGCAUUGUGGGUCUUGCUGGACUCUCAAUGGCCUAUUUACAUGGAUUGAUACAAGACUGUGUGCUUUUCUUUGGCGAGUUCAAAACACAUGGCGAGCGUGCGCCAUCUUUACCUGGCACAGUGGUGGUCAGGGUCAUGGCAGGAAUUAAAAAGAUUUGGUAAGGUUUUGAUCAUUUCCAGCGUGAAAGUAAAGCCGAAGGAAGUAAAGUCAUGUAGCUAAUAAAGCGACUAGCCUGGAUUGCAGCACACACGACUUUUAACGCCAUCACCUGGUACAUGUUGCUGUGUGCACACCGCCAAGUUGGAAUGUUCUAGUCCAGGGGUCACCGCGGGCACCAGGUAGACCCGUAAGGACCAGAUGAGUAGCCCGCUGGCCUGUUCUAAAAAUAGCUCAAAUAGCAGCGCUUACAAAAUUUUUAAUUCUAAGAGAGACAAAACUCAAAUAGAAUUUGAAAAUCUAAGAAAAAAUGUUAAAGACUUGGUCUUCACUUGUAUAAAUAAAUUCAUUUAUUUUUUUUUACUUUGCUUCUUAUAACUUUCAGAAAGACAAUUUUAGAGAAAAAAUACAACCUUAAAAAUGAUUUUAGGAUUUUUAAACACAUAUACCUUUUUACCUUUUAAAUUCCUUCCUCUCUUUUCCUGACAAUUUAAAUCAGUGUUCAAGUAUUUAGUUUUUAUUGUAAAGAAUAAUAAAUACAUUUUAAUUCAAUUCUUCAUUUUAGCUUCUGUUUUUUCGACGAAGAAUAUUUGUGGGAUAUUUCUUCAAACUUAUGAUUAAAAUUUUAGAAUAAUUUUCUGGCAAAUCUAGAAAAUCUGUAGAAUCAAAUUUAAAUCUUAUUUCAAAGUCUUUUGAAUUUCUUUUAAAAAACAAAUUCUGGAAAAUCUAGAAGAAAUAAUGAUUUGUCUUUGUUAGAAAUAUAGCUUGGUCCAAUGUGUUAUAUAUUCUAACAAAGUGCAGACUGGAUUUUAACCUAUUUAAAACAUGUCAUCAAAAUUCUAAAAUUAAUCUUAAUCAGGGAAAAUGACUAAUGAUGUUCCAUAAAUUCUUUUUUUAAUUUUUUCAAAAAGAUUCGAAUUAUCUAGUUUUUCUCUUCAUUUUUUUCGGUGGAGUUUUGAAUUUUAAAGAGUCGAAAUUGAAGAUAAACUAUGUUUCAAAAUUUUAUUUGGAUUUUUUUCCUGUUUUCUCUCAUUAUAAACCGUUCAAUUAAGUGUUUUUGUCAUCAUUUAUUCUCUACAAAAAACCUUCCGUAAAAGGAAAAAAAAUGUACGACGGAAAGACAGACAGAAAUACCCUUUUUUUUUUAUAUAUAUAUAUAUAUAUAUAUAUAGAUUUAUUUAUUAUAGGUAAAUUGAGCAAAUUGGCUAUUUCUGGCAAUUUAUUUAAGUGUGUAUCAAACUGGUAGCCUUUCGCAUUAAUCAGUACCCAAAAAGUAGCUUUUGGUUUCAAAAAGGUUGGUGACCCCUGUUCUAGUCUGUUCCACACCUCGCAUUUAGUAGGAUGCUAGCUUUAGCCAGGCUAGCUGCGGGUAACAAACAAGGAAAAAGCAUGUUGUCCGUCACGGAAAUUGCUCGAGACAUGACAGGACGCACGUGAAAGUCCCAAGAACCCUUAAUUGAAAACAAACAGUCGGCCGUCUUGGUUUCCGUCGGCCAUUUUUAGGGCAAAAACAGGGUUGGUACUUUAACGAACUCUUCCUGGGGACUUGUACCAAAUGAACCGAGGUUAAGAUGACCGAUACUAGAGAGAUGGGCCAUGAUAAAAUGCGAAAGAAUUUUGCCUACGCCUUAGGAUGUGGGCGUGGCAUGGCGCCAAACUUUGAUCCAAUGAUUUGCCACAAAACUUUCCACUUAGAAACGAUGAUAACUAUACCCUGAAAUGCCGGAUGGGUCGGUAUCUAGUUUGUUGUUUCUUUCACAUCACCGCAGGCACACGUCAGCCAUGUAAACAGAACCUACGUUCAGCAAAAAUGGUUACUGGCCUCCCACAAUGCAUUGCAAAAUCACCUGCCCUUUCGAACCAUAUUAGGACCUUAUUGGAACUGCUUUGUUUAUUAUUAUUAUUUUGUUAUCACAUUUUUAAAUAAUUAAAACGCACAAAAACUCGCCAACUUUUGCAAAUAUCAAAAAUGACUCUCUCACGCCCCCCUUGGAAAGUAGAACAGAUGAGUCCCUGCUCGUGUCUUCACGGAAAAAAGUCCUAAAAAAACAUAUUUUGGAAAACAAAGUAGGCCAUCUUGGUUUCAGUCAGCCAUUUUUAGGCCAAAAACUAACUCCUUUGACCAAACUUUUAUCCGAGGAUUCGCCACAAAAUUUCAACUUUUAUAACUCGGCUCCACAAAUUCCGAUCUAGGUCAAAUUUUGUCAAAACGAUAAUAACGACACCCCAAAGUGCCGGAAGGGUCGGUAUCUAUUGGUAACCAUUCGUGGGGGGCGGAGCCUGGUGGCGAAAACCAUCAAAUGGUCACAAACUUCACGUUAGAUGAUCGGAUCUCACCCGGAAGUGAUAUUCAAAACGUUAAUGUGUAUUGUUUUGAUGUUAGCAUUUAAGCUAGCUCCCGAUUAUCGUGCUAGCUUAUUUUCUACGAAAUGAGCAGCAUCACUGUGAGUUUAUCAAAGUUUGGUAAUCAAUCACGGAUGAUACUAAUUGUUGUGAGUUUUACUGCAGUUUAUCAUGAAUACUGUUAGCGUUAAAUACCUCGUCAGAGCUUUAGGGACCAAUUUAGGUUUUAUUUUAUAAGUUCUUAUUGUAAGAAACAUAACGGUGGAUAAUUGGGAUACAUGGGAUUCAAGGGUGUUAAAAAGAAAUACAAUGUACACACAAGUGAACUGAAAACCUUAACCAGAUCCGAAUCGUUGGUGAACCGUUCCACCCCUAACCUAUACCUUUCAUUAUAAGUCCGUCAUCUUGGUUUCUGUCGGCCAUUUUUAGGCCAAAAAGAAACUCCUUUGACCAAACUUUGAUCCGGUGAUUUGCCACAAAACAUUCAACUUUUAGAACCUGGCUCCACAAACUUGGAUCUUGGUCAUAAUUGGUAAAAACGAUGAUAACAACACCCCGAAGUGCCCGGAUGGGUCGGUAUCUAUUGGUACUCAUUCGUAGGGGGCGGAGCCAGGCGGGGAAAACCAUCAAAUGGUCACAACUUCACGUUAGAUGGCCGGAUCUCCCCCCGGAAGUGAUCCGCGACUCGACAACGAGACGUUGCUAUCGAGACUAAAAUUGCCCCCUUGUGGUGGGAACUUAUAACCAUUGCAACUUCCUUCCUUAUGCUCUGAUCUUCCUGAAUUUUUUUUGCCGGUGGCUGAGAGGGCCAGUUUUAAUCGUUUUUAGAGCUUCAAGGGACGCGUGUCCUUCACGUUGUGAAUAUGAAUUUCCACCGCGUCAGCAGUUGUCGCGGGCUGUGAAGUGGGAACAUGUGCUUUUCUCCCGAGCAAGGGCUUUUAAUUUUCCAAGGAGCGGAGCACACAAGGGCUUUCUGUGGCGAGGGUGGAGGCGGGGAGAGGAGGGAGCGAGCGUCUUUAAGGCGGGACUGGGAAACUCUGCCACGUUGGCUCCAGCUGAGCCUGGAGGAGAUCUUUGCCUCCGACUUUGAAGAGAUUAGACGACUUCUCUAAGUAGUUAGACGUGUAAGAUAGCCAUCAUCGGUGCGAAACACUACUGAAAAUAUCCCCCAGUGUGGAGCAGCACCCUGAACGCCACACUGCUCCCGGCGGCCGUCCAUCUUGCACAGCUUGGACUGGAUAUAACUGUGUUGUUAUGAGUGACGUAUAUAUUCCAAAGGGAGGACCACCUAUUUAUUCCUGCGUAGACCCGGGGUGGUCGUCCGUCUGUAUUUAUCUGCUGUUUGACUCACAUGUGCAGCCUCUCUGGCAGGGAGGAGAACAUCCAUCCGUCGGCGUGCAAGCCGGAAGAAGCUUUCUGUACUUUCCAGGACUCACCCAUCACGUCUGGCAACCCAGCUCGCCUCUCCUCACCUGUACACAGAGUGCCUGCCUUGUCCUGCCUUCAGAGAGAUCCCAGAUCAGCCCAGGGACUUUUUUUGCCCCCAGUCCUCUUUGUGGCCCUCCAAGGUGGGACUCACUUUUACCACAUCUCACUUCUUCUGCCCUCUUUUCUACAAACGUCCACGCAACAGUGCUGGGACGUUGUGUCUUCUGUGUCGCUCACGUGUCACCCGGGUCGGUUGGGGGCCGGCAGAGGGGCAUCGUCUCCAAGGUACCCUCAUGACCGCCGCUCUUUAACUGACACACACACGCACACACACACUUGUAGACUGUUGCCGAUCAUUCUGUGCGUGUGUGCGUGGCUCAUGAUAGCGUGGCCAUCAGCUGCUUGCUCCUUGCUGCCAUACAACUUUACAGCCUUGAGUGUUUGCCGAUACUGAUAUUGAUCCCCAACGAUACCAGCAGGAAUCAUUCAUGCUUGUAUUAUUUUGUAAUGUAGACUAUGAAUUUAUUUGUUUAUAAUACAAAAUGUUUUUUUUUUCACUGAAUAUUUUGCAUUAAAAUAUUUUCUAAGGAAUGAUGUACCAUAUUAAACCACACCCACAACGUUUUUGAGAAAAAAAAAUAGUUUCCAUAUAUUAGCCGCACCAGACUAUAAGUCACAGAUAUACACGUUGUGAGAUUAGUUAUUUACACAGAAAUAUUCUGAAAAUGUUUAUUUGCAUACCUUAAUUAUUUCCAAAUGGUGGCAGUAAAACGGCUGAUCAUACAAAACACAAUCAGCUAAACAGGCUCAAUUACUCCUUGGUGACGUUUUGGUUUGAUUGAUUGAUUGAUACUUUUAUUAGUAGAUUGCACAGUUCAGUACAUAUUCCGUCCAAUUGACCACUAAAUGGUAACACCCAAAUAAGUUUUUCAACUUGUUUAAGUCAGGGUCCACGUUAAUCAAUUCAUGGUAAAUUUACAAAAGUGAAACAGGCACAAAAAGAAUGUCAUUGUAAGUAAAUAAUACUAACACAGACACGCAUGUUAGCAUAUUAGCUAAUGAUAAUGACGCUAGCUUCAUUACAUUACGAUAACUUGUACAAAUAUGCAUGAAAACACUCCUACAGACAUCACACACGGGACGCUUUAGUAAGUAAGAUUUUUUUUAGAUAUAUUGUAAAACUUACCAAUGUUGCUUGGAGUAAUGAACGAAGAAUCCAUACAAGUAGAAAUGCUAUGGACGGCUAGAAGACGGACCGGCACUUCUACUUCCGGUUCAAAGCUUUCACUCUGCAGUGAGCGAACCCGUCCAAAAGAUGGCGCCGUAGCACAAACAAUAACACGCCAUUUAAUUGUCUUUGCAUGUUUUUUUUUAAUUUAUGGAGAAUCAUCCAUAAAUUAAAGCUGCAAGGUUUAAAGUCAAGGAAAAAUAUAGCGGCUUAUAGUUUGGGAUUUUGGUAAAUAUUAAUAUAGGCUACGAGGAGCUAUACUACAGCUAAGCACACACUAGCACACAAGCUAGACAUAGGUAAUAAUCAUUGAACAUUAAAACAUGACAUUUGUCAAUAUAAACAAGUAUCAAAUAAUUCAAGUUACAUGUUGCUUACACAUUUAGUCUCCAAAGCAGGAUUUGAAAGUAUCCAGUAACAAACGUGUCCGCAUGAUCCUAACUUCAUCAUUAUUGUGUCACCAAAAAACAAUUACCGCUUCACUUCAACUUAAAGACAGCAUAAGUCCAUUCCAGAGGUUAAUUAUAAAUAUGUUAGUGUUUUUUAUAACUACUUUUUUUCGCUGUUUGACUCAUUUCACCUGAUCAAACCUUUUCUAACAUUCCACACUACUCACUGAUACAUGUAUGUACAAUUCCUGCUGAUAUUGUAUCAAAUUUAUGUCUGUAUCGGCUCCAAUAUCGUAUCGGAAGUGAAAAUAAGUAUAGAAAUAUGAACUGAUAUAUUUCUGACAAUAACGUGUGUGUGUGUGUGUGUGUGUGUGUCUGUGUGUGCGUGUUUAAGAGGUUGUGUGUUUUGUAUUUGUUGAACACAUGUUUCUGUGCACGAGAGACUGCAGAUAAUGAAAGUAAAAACAUUGUUAAGUGUGCAGAUGCUGCUUUGUACCUCCCAGUCCUGUCAGUAGCCACACACACACACACACACACACACACACACACACACACACGCUCUUGUGGUUCUUACCUUCUUGAGACCUCCGAAAAAUG